Molecule: transfer RNA, 72 nt
Filed under: Ovis aries (sheep)
Lineage: Eukaryota; Metazoa; Chordata; Mammalia; Artiodactyla; Bovidae
Rfam family: tRNA
About the family: Transfer RNA (tRNA) molecules are approximately 80 nucleotides in length. Their secondary structure includes four short double-helical elements and three loops (D, anti-codon, and T loops).
Source: Rfam by way of RNAcentral
UCCCUGGUGGCUCAGAGGUUAAAGCGUCUGCCUGCAACGCAGGAGAUCUGGGUUUGAUCCCUGGGUUGGGAA